UACGUAGGGUGCAAGCGUUGUCCGGAAUUAUUGGGCGUAAAGGGCUCGUAGGCGGUUCGUCGCGUCGGCUGUGAAAUCCCGAGGCUCAACCUCGGGUCUGCAGUCGAUACGGGCGGACUGGAGUUCGGCAGGGGAGACUGGAAUUCCUGGUGUAGCGGUGAAAUGCGCAGAUAUCAGGAGGAACACCGGUGGCGAAGGCGGGUCUCUGGGCCGAUACUGACGCUGAGGAGCGAAAGCGUGGGGAGCGAACAGG
RNAcentral lists this ribosomal RNA (253 nucleotides) under uncultured bacterium. Its description in RNAcentral is "partial 16S ribosomal RNA". It matches the Rfam family "Bacterial small subunit ribosomal RNA", at positions 524 to 776 of the family's 1533-position model. The record is from RNAcentral.